Molecule: ribosomal RNA, 380 nt
Filed under: uncultured cyanobacterium
Lineage: Bacteria; Bacillati; Cyanobacteriota
Description: bacterial SSU rRNA
Rfam family: Bacterial small subunit ribosomal RNA
Source: RNAcentral
CGAAAGCCUGACGGAGCAAUACCGCGUGAGGGAGGAAGGCUUUUGGGUUGUAAACCUCUUUUCUCAAGGAAGAAAAAAAUGACGGUACUUGAGGAAUAAGCAUCGGCUAACUCCGUGCCAGCAGCCGCGGUAAUACGGAGGAUGCAAGCGUUAUUCGGAAUUAUUGGGCGUAAAGCGUCCGCAGGUGGUAUUUCAAGUCUGCUGUCAAAGACCGAAGCUUAACUUCGGAAAGGCAGUGGAAACUGAAAAACUAGAGUACGGUAGGGGUAGAGGGAAUUUCCAGUGUGGCGGUGAAAUGCGUAGAGAUUGGAAAGAACACCAGUGGCGAAGGCGCUCUACUGGGCCGUAACUGACACUCAGGGACGAAAGCUAGGGGAGCG